CAAAUUAUAACUUUUAGUAAGUAUUAUUAUUUACAUUAAUAAUUUAAUUGUGCGAAUCAAUUUAAUUUGA
RNAcentral lists this transfer RNA (70 nucleotides) under Stictopleurus subviridis. RNAcentral describes it as "tRNA-Val". Lineage: Eukaryota; Metazoa; Arthropoda; Insecta; Hemiptera; Rhopalidae. RNAcentral also lists the same sequence under 2 other names. The record is from RNAcentral.